UGCAGUCGACGACUCUGGUAUUGAUUGGUGCUUGCAUCAUGAUUUACAUUUGAGUGAGUGGCGAACUGGUGAGUAACACGUGGGAAACCUGCCCAGAAGCGGGGGAUAACACCUGGAAACAGAUGCUAAUACCGCAUAACAACUUGGACCGCAUGGUCCGAGUUUGAAAGAUGGCUUCGGCUAUCACUUUUGGAUGGUCCCGCGGCGUAUUAGCUAGAUGGUGGGGUAACGGCUCACCAUGGCAAUGAUACGUAGCCGACCUGAGAGGGUAAUCGGCCACAUUGGGACUGAGACACGGCCCAAACUCCUACGGGAGGCAGCAGUAGGGAAUCUUCCACAAUGGACGAAAGUCUGAUGGAGCAACGCCGCGUGAGUGAAGAAGGGUUUCGGCUCGUAAAACUCUGUUGUUAAAGAAGAACAUAUCUGAGAGUAACUGUUCAGGUAUUGACGGUAUUUAACCAGAAAGCCACGGCUAACUACGUGCCAGCAGCCGCGGUAAUACGUAGGUGGCAAGCGUUGUCCGGAUUUAUUGGGCGUAAAGCGAGCGCAGGCGGUUUUUUAAGUCUGAUGUGAAAGCCUUCGGCUCAACCGAAGAAGUGCAUCGGAAACUGGGAAACUUGAGUGCAGAAGAGGACAGUGGAACUCCAUGUGUAGCGGUGAAAUGCGUAGAUAUAUGGAAGAACACCAGUGGCGAAAGCGGCUGUCUGGUCUGUAACUGACGCUGAGGCUCGAAAGUAUGGGUAGCAAACAGGAUUAGAUACCCUGGUAGUCCAUACCGUAACGAUGAUGCUAGUGUUGGAGGGUUUCCGCCCUUCAGUGCUGCAGCUAACGCAUUAAGCAUUCCGCCUGGGGGAGUA
Molecule: ribosomal RNA, 857 nt
Filed under: Lactiplantibacillus plantarum
Lineage: Bacteria; Bacillati; Bacillota; Bacilli; Lactobacillales; Lactobacillaceae
Description: bacterial SSU rRNA
Rfam family: Bacterial small subunit ribosomal RNA
Source: RNAcentral